UACGUAGGGGGCGAGCGUUGUCCGGAGUUACUGGGCGUAAAGGGCAUGCAGGCGGUCGGACGCGUUUUGUGUGACAGCGGAUGGCUUACCUAUCCGAGCAUACGAAAGACGGUUGGACUUGAGGACUCGAGAGGGACACGGAAUUCCGGGUGGAGUGGUGAAAUGCGUAGAGAUCCGGAGGAACACCGAAGGCGAAGGCAGUGUCCUGGCGAGCGACUGACGCUGAGGUGCGAAAGCCAGGGGAGCGAACGGG
RNAcentral lists this ribosomal RNA (253 nucleotides) under uncultured bacterium. RNAcentral describes it as "partial 16S ribosomal RNA". It matches the Rfam family "Bacterial small subunit ribosomal RNA", at positions 524 to 776 of the family's 1533-position model. The record is from RNAcentral.